CCUACGGGAGGCAGCAGUGGGGAAUCUUAGACAAUGGGGGCAACCCUGAUCUAGCCAUGCCGCGUGAGUGAUGAAGGCCUUAGGGUCGUAAAGCUCUUUCGCCUGUGAUGAUAAUGACAGUAGCAGGUAAAGAAACCCCGGCUAACUCCGUGCCAGCAGCCGCGGUAA
RNAcentral lists this ribosomal RNA (168 nucleotides) under uncultured bacterium. Its description in RNAcentral is "partial 16S ribosomal RNA". It matches the Rfam family "Bacterial small subunit ribosomal RNA", at positions 338 to 523 of the family's 1533-position model. The record is from RNAcentral.